RNAcentral lists this non-coding RNA (258 nucleotides) under Clostridium sp. RNAcentral's name for it is "T-box sequence". It matches the Rfam family "T-box leader". Rfam says of the family: Uncharged tRNA acts as the effector for transcription antitermination of genes in the T-box leader family. Lineage: Bacteria; Bacillati; Bacillota; Clostridia; Eubacteriales; Clostridiaceae. The record is from RNAcentral.
ACAAAUGCAAUGAACGGAAGUAGUAAGCCGCGAAAUUUCUACAGAGAGCUGCCGGAUGGUGUGAGGCAGCGGAAGGAAGCCGCCGAACUGGUCCGGGAGCAGCCUGUUGAAAGAAGUGUUUUUGAAUGAAAGAAGUGUUUUUGAAUACCCGAGUAGGCAGAGCCGGUCAUCCGCCGUUACAGGACGAUGAGGAGCACACGGAUUCCGUGUGAAAUAGAGUGGUACCGCGCAGUUGGAAUUUUCGCCCUGCGUCUCUAU